CUCUCGCUCUUAACGCAAAACCCUUCUUCUUCACGCUCUACUUCACCGUGGCGUUCCGUUCUUCAGCGUGCGAUUGGCUAGGUUGAGGUUGAUUUUGAUUUCACAAUUUUCAGGUUGCCUUUCGAAAUUCAAUUCCUCCAUAGUUGCAGCAAAGGUAAGAUUUCUUCUUCUCGUGCUUCUCAACUAUUUCAUUGCUUCCAAUUUUAUUGCUCCUUCAUCUUCUCUAUGGAAUUGCGUUAAACAGCCCCCAUGUGUCUACUGUAAAAGAUCUAAAACAAGAUAGGGUUAAGAGAGAUAGCUCCUUGGUUGUGAUAUUCUUGGUCACGAGGCAAAUACUACUGUCUAAUUACUCUUUGGCUGUUGCAAAGGAAGGUGAUCUUUGAUAUGGCUUUGACUAAAUCAUGUCUAUGUCCCUUGUGUUUUUGGUCCCCUGUUUUCUCCCCCCCUACUCUUUACUCUCAUGCUUUCUCUCUUUUCUUUUGUCCCUUUUUCUUUAUUAUCUUGUAACUCUUUACUAGCACUCUUUACUCUUUACUGUCAUAAAGUUUCUUGUGUGCUCCCUCUUGUAACUAUCUCUAGUCUAUGUAUGUGGUUUUAAUUGAAACUUUGUUGCUGGUUAAGUAAUUUUAUUAAAAAGAUCUAUGUCAAACUGGGUUGGUAAGGUUCUUUCACGUGGGGUAUGGGUUUUUUUUAUUAAAAAUUAAAACUUUAUGUUGAAUAUCAUGGAAUAUGUUAUUGGGUCUGGUUAGACUACCCCAGGCACAAGUAUUGGCAGUUUCGCACGGCUUCCUUUAUGUUACAAGUUUUGAUUGAGUUUGAUUCUGAUUUCAUCUUUUUAUUUUUUUAAUACCUGAGCCUAUGAGGAUAGAGAUUAUUAUGAAAAGCAUGUUAUUUUAAAUUGAUUUGAUUUGAUUUCCUAGCUUCUAAUUGCUGAUCAAAAGUACUUUAAGGUAUUCUUGGAGCAACAGAAAUCUAUAACAUUUGCCAUUACUUGUGUUUCACAUUAAGAUUUUAGGAUACUUUAUCAAAUAGUUUACAAUUUUAAUGCUGUGUCUAAUGGUUGAUCAUGACCUCUUUUUAAUAACUAUCUUGUUCUUAUAGUGUUUUUUGUUCAGUGAGGGGAUUUGGGCUUAGCUAUGAGGGUUGAUAUAUAUCUCAAUGUUAACAUACUCUUAUCUUAUGAUUGUUCUAGACCGCAACUUACUAUAGAAAGUGAUACGUUAUGCAUAAGUUUUGAGGGAUGAUUUUUCCAGUGCUUUCUACAAUGUCUGCUGCCAUAGCAGCUUCAGUCUUGCAGCACUUAGCUUUCUGUUUAUUAUUGUGCCAUAAUGUCUGGUAGAAUGAAAAGAUCAUACUUUUACAUAUUUAUCACAGUUGGGCAGCUAGUAAAUUUCAUUUUUAAUAAAAAAAUAAUAAUAAUUAACUACUUGCGGCGGUUUGAACCGUCGCUAAAUGAUAAUAUGAAUUCUUCCACAAAAGUAAACCACGGCGGUUCAAACCGCCGCUAAAAGUUACUGUAUCUGCGGCGGUUUAAACCGCCGCCAAAUGCUAGAUACAACUAGCGGCGGCUAUUCCAGCAGUUGGUACAAACCGCCACAGAACGCCUGGCGACACUAGUAACUGCGACGGUUGGCAAACCGCCGCAAUAUGCGUUCUGCGGCGGUUUAAACUGCCGCAAAACGUCCUGACAACCGCCACAGAAUGCCUUUUUUCUUGUAGUGGACAUAGAGUUAGGUUUGUUAGUCGCUUAAACACUCAAACUUCAUGAUAACUUUCUUUCUUAAUCAUGUGAGACAUCAAUGUUUAGGAUUAGAGAGUUAUUGUUAUCCACUCAUGCGAGACAUCGAUGAAGUAGGGUUGAACUGGUGUAGAUGAAUCAUAUUCUUAGUCUUGGUUUGUAUUUGAAUCACUAGAACGCACAAAGGUCAUUCAAUGAAAUCUAAUCCCAACAAUUUCUCAUACCUGUUGUUCCUCCAUCAUUUCAUCUGUUUUCCUUUUUACUUUCAUGUUUAAACAAUCAAACUCUUAUGAAUCCAUCAUUUAAGUUUGUCAACUAUUGAACGACAUAGUGUUACACCUCCCUGCGGAUACGACAAAACCCUUUACUAUACUACAAUUGAGUUUUGAGAGAUUCAAACGUAGAGUGGUAAAAAAUCUUUCAACAAAAUGGCGCUGUUGCCGGGGAGGUGUGCCAAUACUAAUUGCAUUGCAAUAGUUUUCAUUCUUGAAUGAUUGUGAAUAUGGUGUAUAGUUUUUGUUUUCAGUUUAACUUUCCUUGUUGUUACUAAUCUCUUGUAUUAGUUGGCUAGUUCAAGAGUUGAAGCAACAAGAAGCUUCUGAAUCACUACCUUCUCAAAAUGUUUCAAUCAUCUCAGACAUACUAUUCCCUUGAAGAGGAUAGGAUUUCUAAGCUUGAGUAUACCUUGGUGCAAUUCAUGCAAUUGUCAAUGAUUAAUCAAAGGAAUACUGAGGCUUCCAUCAAGAACUUGGGGGAUCAAUUGGGAAAGCUAGCUAAUAUGGUAGCUGAACAUGGAAGACCAAUGGUUGAAGAAAAAGUGGAAGAAAGUGAGGAAGAAGAAGAAAAAUCAAAAAAAGAAGAAAGAGAUCCAACUCUUCACCACUUACCGAUUCCUUCAAGCUCUCCAAAGGUAAAACAUGAUGAGGAUGAGGUAAGCGUUGAAGAUUUUGAUAGCAUAUCACAUCACCAAUGCAAUAAUGAAACUAUUAAUGUUGAGCAUAUAGACUCUGUAUUUGGUGAUAGGCUUGAUGAGCAAGUUCCAUCAAAUUCUUCAAAGAACUUUAAAUUUACAUUCGUUCAUAUGCAUGUAAAUACCUUGGCAUGUGAGUUGAAUGUAGGUGUGAAUUGGGUUUGAUUGAGAAAAGAAAGAAAAAGAAUGAGUCUUUGAUGGCUUGGAAAACCUUUGUUAGAAAACUAUAUAAAAUCCAAGUCAAAAGACCUAAAAAAAGGAAGGGGUUAUAUUAUAACCCUUGUUUAUGGUCACCUUGAUUGUGCAAGCGUCAAGCUAAUGACAUUAAACAAGCGCUUCCUGGGAGGCAAACCAGUGUUUUUAUUGUUUUUAUGUGUGUUUUAGUAAGUGAUACUGUGAUUUUGUGAACCUUUGUUUAACUAUGUGUUUUAAGGUUCUUCACAAGUUUUGAUAGAUACAUUGAGUGUAUUCAUAAGCUUUGGAAGCAAUGAAAAUGGUAAAAUUUGAUUUUGAGGAGGUGACUUGUGAAACUGCAUGAUGUUUGAGUGAAAUUUGGGUACUGUGAGAAUUUUGUGCAAAACCUUAGUUUAAGAGUAGCUACAGGUCCAAUUCAAUGUUUAUAAUGCAUAGGGUUUGAUGGAAAGUGAGGUUUAUAUGAAUUGAAAAUUUUGAGGUAUGUGGUUGUGUGGUUUUCAAGUGAAAAACAGAUCCCUCUAUAGCAUUUCUGUAUAAACUGUGAAAACUUGCCUCCAAUUUCUUGUGAACUAUCUCAAUUUUUUUAUUUGUAUGUCAAUUUUCAAGUCUUAGGAUAGGUGUUUAGUGAACUGUUUGAUGAUGUGAAGGAUUUCCGAAAAUGAAGGUCAAUUUGUGCUUGUCAAGUCCAUGGAGUGUGUCAUGAUGCCAUGUGCUUCAACUGUGUAUCUUAAGGCGCUCAACAAGUUUUAAAUGAUGUUAAUAGAUAGUUUUAAGGCCUAGCGUGAAGCAAGUGUAAGAAGUUCAAAAUAUGAGGUAUUGAGUUGUGAACUAAUGAAAUUUGACCCUAUUUUGAACUUGAAAUGACUGAUGUGCUAGAUAUGCUUCAAUUUCUAAUCUUAAGUUAUGCACAAGUUUCUUAGGGCAUUUGUAUAUGUUUGGAGUGAUUGGCAUGUUCUAGAAAUGAUCACAUCAAAAUAUGACCUUUUGAGUUGUGAAAAGCAUGAAAACUUGUCCUUGAAGCCUAGAAGUGUGAAUUUUUUAUAAAUUGGGCAUGGAUGCUGAAUCACAAGGUCUGAACAUGUUUCAAAUGACAAAUGAGUGUGAAUACAUCAAUUGGCUUGCUUGAAAAUUUUAAAACUCAGAAUUCGGUAUGUUCAGAUACAUGUGCCAAUUUGAUGCUUAGAUUUUGGAGAUUUGAAUGAAAAAGAUGUUUGGAAUUCAUGGAUACAGGUUUUAAUGAUCACUUAGAUGGUUUUGAUGAAGAAUAAAUGUGAUAAUUUUGCUUAGAAUGAGAUUUGGGGGUAAAUAUUGAGAGUUGCUGUUUUUUUUACUGGUAUAGGCGCCCAGCGCCCAGCGCCCAUCUGAGAGCGCUCAGCGGCCUCAAACACUGAUGCAGACCGCUCAUCGGUCUUCAGAGGCCGCUCAGCACUACCCCCUUAUCAGCAAUCCACUCUUUUAUUCAAAUGAGCAUAACUUCUUCAUUUCUUAUUGGAUUUAAGCCAAUGACCACUCUUUGGAAAGCUCUUGAAGUCUAUUUUCAUAUGGACUAGGAUUUGAAUUGUUUUAAUGCUUUGAUAUUCUCAUUUAUCCCUUAUACUAUAACAUGGUUUUCAAGUGACUGUUAGGCAGAUUAAUAGGAAAAACAUACAGUUUGGCCUGAGGACAGUCCAAUUCUCAUGGAGGGGGGAGAGAUCAAGGACUUUAGUAGAGAGUUUGAUUCAAAGAAUUAACAUCACAAGUUCGUUUGAGGAAUUCUGUGGAGCUGAAGAGGAAGGUUGUGAAGGAAAGCUUGAGGAACACGCUGGAGGAGCUACAGGAUUUAAGUUCUCAAGGAAAGAGACAUAUUUUCAUGAAACAUGAAGAAUUUUUGGAUCACCAGGGUGCCUAGCGCUUGUCAGUGGCCGCCCAGCACCCAUGACGGUUACCAGAAACCCAACCUUGAAGUAACUGGGCGUCCAGCGCCCAUAAAGGGCCCCCAGCACUCUGCACAGAUGCAAAAUCAUUAUAAAAUAAAUUUUCUUCAGUUUCAGAAAGUGGAACUUGAUCAGAACUUCGACCCAACUCAGAGAAACACUAGAAAAACAAAGGGAAAGGCUUAGGAGGCUAGAGAAGAAGCUUCGGAGGUCGGAUUCGACGGCGAGACAUCGCGACGAUUUCGAUUCUUCUCAUUCUUCUUCUCUAUUUGUAAAACUAUCCAUGAAAAUGGAUAGCUAAUCUCUCUUUGUUGGGAUUUGAUGUAGUUGUAUGAUACUUAUGCUCUCUAUGUGAUUCUCUUUUAUA
This is a long non-coding RNA of Lotus japonicus, 5183 nucleotides long. RefSeq lists it as uncharacterized. NCBI's taxonomy places the organism in Eukaryota, Viridiplantae, Streptophyta, Magnoliopsida, Fabales, Fabaceae. The record is from RefSeq and is a predicted model, not a curated record. The transcript has 4 exons.